Molecule: non-coding RNA, 70 nt
Organism: Podarcis lilfordi (Lilford's wall lizard)
Lineage: Eukaryota; Metazoa; Chordata; Lepidosauria; Squamata; Lacertidae
Source: the annotation of a GenBank genome assembly
GACCUUUGCUCAGUGGUAGAGCAUUUGCUUUGCAUGCGUAAGGUCCCAGGUUCAAUCCCUGGCAUCUACA